RNAcentral lists this ribosomal RNA (484 nucleotides) under uncultured bacterium. RNAcentral's name for it is "partial 16S ribosomal RNA". It matches the Rfam family "Bacterial small subunit ribosomal RNA", at positions 29 to 507 of the family's 1533-position model. The record is from RNAcentral.
AUUGAACGCUGGCGGCAUGCUUUACACAUGCAAGUCGAACGGCAGCGCGGGCUUCGGCCUGGCGGCGAGUGGCGAACGGGUGAGUAAUACAUCGGAACGUGCCCAGUAGUGGGGGAUAGCUCGGCGAAAGCCGGAUUAAUACCGCAUACGACCCGAGGGUGAAAGCGGGGGAUCUUCGGACCUCGCGCUAUUGGAGCGGCCGAUGGCAGAUUAGCUAGUUGGUGGGGUAAAGGCCUACCAAGGCGACGAUCUGUAGCUGGUCUGAGAGGACGACCAGCCACACUGGGACUGAGACACGGCCCAGACUCCUACGGGAGGCAGCAGUGGGGAAUUUUGGACAAUGGGCGAAAGCCUGAUCCAGCAAUGCCGCGUGUGUGAUGAAGGCCUUCGGGUUGUAAAGCACUUUUGGCGGGAACGAAAAGGACUGUGCCAAUACCACGGUUCGAUGACGGUACCCGCAGAACAAGCACCGGCUAACUACGUG